RNAcentral lists this long non-coding RNA (16234 nucleotides) under Malus domestica (apple). RNAcentral describes it as "long non-coding RNA (MDOM_LNC015606)". The record is from RNAcentral. Lineage: Eukaryota; Viridiplantae; Streptophyta; Magnoliopsida; Rosales; Rosaceae.
UCAAUCAAACGGUUAAGCAAAUUGAAUUCACAACUUAUGAAAUAACAACUGAAGGUAAUCAAUUCAUAAUGCAAAUAUAAUCAUGGUUUUGAAUAGCCCCCUAGCCAAGAAGGGCUUAGUUCCUCAUAAAUGCAAAACAAAGAUACAUAAAUUUAGACAUUGAAAACAAAGAAUGAAAACACCUAGAAAUGCUCCAACAAUCCAACGUCUUGAAUGGCAAGCAUGUCCAAGGGUCUCCUUCCUUCUUCUUUGCUGCGGCAUAAGGGAUGGUUGAAGGUUUUUGUGAUGAUUUGUGGUGGUGGAUGGAUAUAGGUUGGUUAUGGUGAAGGGUGGAGUCCUCAGAAUGGUCAGAAAGGGGUCUUAUUUAUAGGGAAAGGAAGGGCUACGAAUUUAUUAGAUUUGGAAUCCGAAAUCAAUGGAAAAUAGGCAAGAAAGGUGCAGGAAUUAAAGAGAAUAGGAAAGGGAAAUUCGGCAGAAAUUGUAGGACAAAUUUAGGAAUGUGUUUUGAGGCACAAAAUAGGUAAGAAUCCUCUCCCCUUGUUCAGCAAGAAUUGAAACAAAAUGGAAUGUAAUUUUGGGUCAGAAAUAGGUAAGAAAGAAUCAGAAAUUAAAGAGAAAUAGGUAACAAAGAUGUGGCACAAUAUAGGAAAGGUACUUAAGGUCAGAAAUUAAAAGGGAAAGAGGAUGUAUGGUGCGGCAAGGGACAAGGGAGAAAGGGAAAGGUGUUUUUGGUUCAGAAAUUAGGGAAACAUGGCAAGGGAAAUUGUUGCACAAGAGGAGACAAGGAUGAAGCACAAAGGGGACAAGGCGCCACCUUUGUAGGAGAUGCUGAAAUUAUGUCUUCUAAGCUUCCAAACUGACUUCUAACAUCCUUUAGGCCUUCAAUUUCGUCAAUCAAUAUUACUCCAAGCAUGAGAUAUUCAAUUCAUGCCCAAAACUGCUCCAAAAGGCUCCAAAUUGCAUCUUUUUGCAUACUUUGUCCUUAGAACCUGAAAUUGCACGAAAAUGACUUUAAACACUAAAAUAACUAAGGAAAACAACAUAAAUGCCAAGAAACAAGCUAACUAAGUCACAUAAAUAUGCUCCUAUCAAAUUCCCCCACACUUAGCUUUUGCUAGUCCUCGAGCAAAACAAAACAAAACAAAACCUAGACCUUCCAACAAUUGUCUUAGGGAUUUCCAAUGAACAUGACAUGCCAAAGAUCAUUACUUACAUAGAUUUUAGUCAUCCUUACCCUCAAGCACAUACUUAAUCAUAGUCACCAUUUACUUGUUCGCAUUUAAUCAAUUAAAACAACAUUUUGAAUGUAGUAACAUGCCUUAGAGAAUUCCCUCAAUUCCUUACUAGAUAUGCACUCAAUUUUCACUCAGAUUUUCUGACUACACACCUUACACUAGGUAUAUGUGAGAAGAUUGAUGUAAACAUGAAAACUAGUACUCACAUAUGUUAUAGCAAAGAAAGCACUUUUCUGGACUUAUUAAUGCAUGUAUAUAUAUGAUCUAAUGGACGGAAUGCCACUACUUAGACGCGAGAACCACUGAUAUCAUAUGCUCAUACCAAUUCCAAACUCCACAUAUUGAAAUACACAACACUCAAGAUGGAAGUCAAGGGUUGUAACGGGGCUAAGGGCGUUGGCUAACAAAGAAAGAUAAGGAUAAACAAAGGUUCUUUAAAGAAAUAGUAAGCAAACUAAUGAAAUUGACACUUAGAAUUCACUUCUGAAUGCAAAAAUCAACUUUUAAACACAAGGGAAGAUUUAUGCAACACUUAGGGCCAAAUUCAAACUUUUGGACCCUUUCUUCAACAACCAACACAUGUGAGUUCAUUCUCACUUAUUUUUCAGCUCUUUUUCAUUCUUUUCACACCCUUUUCUUUUUCUUUUUCUUUUUCCACGAAUUUUUUUUUAUUUUUUUUAUGCCCUUUUCUUUCUUUUGGCACACAAAACACACUUUGAAAACCCUUCCCCCACACUUGUUUUUCUGCAAAAAUCAAAAGGAAUUCCCUUUAAGUCAUGCUUCACUAUUCUUUAAGAACAAGGGUGUGGACAGUUCUAAUCUAGGCUAGGUAGGGAUAAUGUGGUUAACAAAGAAAAUAGGCUAACGAAGGAUCAAAGGGGGUUAAACCUACAAAACAUAUGACAAAAGGGAUAGGCUUUUUGGCUUUGGUGGUAACUAAACAACUUCAUCUUGAAUAUGUGUUAUGCACUCAAUAUCAUGCUUUGAAUGGAACGGGCAUGAGUUCUAGUAUUUGGAUCUAUAAUGAUGAAACGCAUUCUAAGUAGCAACCAAGCAAAGAAUGAAGAGAUCAUGGAACGACUUUAGAAAACAAGAAUGCACAGAUUAAUAACUCUCCAAAUAACGUUUAGGCUCAAGUCUCACAAGGAUGUAGCGUUAGUUUGAGUUCCUUCCUUCAAGCAUGUUACAAAAACUGAUUUUUUUCCUUUUGUGAUUAUAUGUGAAUUCGUAAACUAUAACUACAACCAAGCAUAAACCACAGAGCAUAUCAAACUUACAUCCAUGUUUAUAACUUUCUUUAACAGUCAUGCAAUUAAAAACCAAAUCCUCAUCAUUGUGUUGGAAGGUACCCUAAGACACAAACACACAAAAACGAUUCAAAAACAACUAUUUUUGGCUUUUUCAAAACAAUUUUUCAAAAUUUUAUCGAAUUUUCGGAUUUUUACUUCAACACACACCAAAACAGCUCAAAAUGCACUAAAAACACUUAAAAACAGUGAGAAACAACUUUAGAGGGGAUAGGUAAUACAACCCACGAAUUUGCAUCAAAAAUACUUUGUUAUCCCCCCACACUUAAAUCAAACUUGUCCUCAAUGUUUUAAGCAUAAACUCACAGAAAGCAACCAAACAAAAAAAAACAACUAAGCUUGAUAAAAUAAAGGCAGCAAAGAUAAAAAAAAACAUAUGAUGAUACUUUACGGACAUUUCACAACUAAUCUAGUUUAAUUGUUUGUUUGGCCGUCUCAUAUAAAUGUUUAUACGCUUAAACGAUAAGUCCAAGGAAAUAUGAUUGGGAGAAUGAUCUAAAGAAGUUACAUUCAUGAGACCAUUCUUCGUAAACACAUCCUAAAUUCCUGAUCAUAGGAUUGCCAAUUGGAUCAUUGAGGAUUGUGCAGAUCUGUUAAAAGAGUCGUGUUGACUUCUUCUCAAAAGAGUGACUAGUCGUGUCAUUGGUCUUGACCUCAAGGACAAGUGGGUCUCGAGUCAUUGGUCUGAAUCAAGACAAGCAUGUAGCUCAAUAAUGAAUGAGUCCACUGAACAUGAUCAACGAGAGAGUCUCUCAUACUCAUGUCACAUGAGAACUCAUGGUUCGAAUAAUGCAAAGUAGUCCUUUGACCUGAGGCAUCAUAGUUGUCUUGUGAUUAAGUCCUUGAUCUUUGAUUAUGUCAAAGUCACUCCAUCAGGAGGGUGUCCACGGCAUCGUCGGGGUUAAGCCACUUAGCCAUGGAGGCAAGUGAAUGCACAACAAGGGAUCUCUAACCUUCAAACCGUUUGAGGGAGAAUACUCUAUGAUAUGAUUAAGAAUCUCUGGCCAGAGUAUGAAUGAGAUUUUAGGAAUGAAUCACAUUUUAGGUUUCAAAUCACAUUCAAGGUAAUCAUAUAAGCACAUGAAUCACAUUGGAUAGUAGACAUGAAUAAACUAUCAACCAACAAACAAUGUGGUCAAGAGUAUUGUAUUAGAGAAAGACCGUAUUGCAUUUGUAAUCCUAAACUGAAUAGGUUCUCCACCUCUUCUGAUUAGCUUGGGUAACCAUGAUAUGCUGCUAAGUGUCACUCAUGGUUUGUGGAACCCCUAAAUGUGUAUAAUCACUAAAGGGAGAAUUGAAAAGUAAGUUUCAAUUCACAAUCAAUUCGAAAAUGGUUUUUAAUCGCCCACUGCCUCGCUAAAAGGAACCUAAUGGAUCGUACACCGUGUAAGGUGGAGAUUGAAGAAACAAUGGAGAUGAGUAAGAAUAAUUAAAUGGUUUAAUCAUUAUUUUAUGGCAAGGAUUAAUUAAUAUGUUAAUUAAUCAAACGAAUAAGUUCGUUAAAGACCUCGGAGAGUUAGUUUUGGACCUUAAGGCCCAAUGGGCUUCGAACGUCAAGCCCUUAAUUGACUUAAGUUAAUUGAUGAAAAUUAAUAAGUUGUAUGACAACUUAAUGACAAAAGCCCAAUUAAAAGCCCUAAAUGCCCAAUGAACCCUAUGGCCGGCCAUUUUGUUAAAGGAGUAGGUUUUGGACUUAAUUUACAAAGUUUGCCACUCCAAAUGAAUAAAGGUAUAAAAUAUGACUUUAUAGCCAAAAUUCAUUUAGGGUUUUUCUUUUGGGGAAAAAAUGAGGAGAACACAAUUGCUCUCCUUUUCUCUCUAAAGAGGCCGGCCACCCUUGGAGGGAUUAGCUAGUAAUCUUUCUCCUACAAGGUCACUCAUCUCUUCUUCAACAUCUUACCUUGGUGUGGAGACUUAGAGGUUCUCAAUUUUGGGAACUUGGAGAAACCUAUUCUUCCAUCCAAAUCCAUGGAUCUAAGAAGCAAGGAAUGAAGGCCCUCUCUCUUUGGGUGAUUAGCCUUUGCUUAUGCAAAGAGGAAUCUACACAAAGGUAUAAAUUUUUCAACUCACUUUGUUUUGAGUUUGAGUUGUUAGUCUUGGUUCACCAAUCUACUAGGCUUUGAAUUUCAUGGUUAAUGUUUUGUUUUUGAGUGCAUACAAGCAUGAUUCCGCCUUUAAUUGUUAAUUGCAUGCUAAUAGAUGUUGCUUAAAUGAACAUUUUUUUCACAAAAUUUCCUUCAAGUGGUAUCAGAGCCUAGGUCUAGUAGUUGGUGAAUCCUUUUGGGUUUUGUAGUUCAUAAGUUUUGAUUUAAAAUGUUGUAAUAUGUUACAAGCUUUAUUCUUGCUUCUUUGAAUGUAAAUUUUGUUAGAAAAUUUGCCAUCUCAAAUGUUGUAGAUGUAGUUCAUCAUAUGAGCAUGAAUAUUGGAGCUAAAAUUUGGUGCCAUGUUUUUGGGAAAAUUCGGCCAAAUCCAAAGGGUGGAUUUUUUGGGUUCAUGUUUGACUUGUUAAAAGUGUUUUCAAGUGACUUUUGGAACCCUAAGUACCCUAGUUUGGUUAUAUGUUAUUUCCCUUAAGUUUGAAGUGGUUUUGGGAUGUUUUUGGAUGAAAAAUGUUCAUGGAAGCUUUUAUGGGUUUUUCAUGGAAUGUUCUUCAUUGUUCUUGACAUGUUUUGCCAAGAACAAAAAGUUUGGUGUUUUGAUUCAAAGUUUUGAUUUAUUUCAUAAAGUAUUAUGUUUUGUGCUUUAUCAAAAUGUUUUAAUUUUGUUGAAAUUUUGAAAGGGAGAUAGAAAUGGUGAUGGGUGUGUAAGAAGUACUUCUCUUACACACACACCACUUUGCAUGAAAUUUAUGUCACAUACACCACUUGCAUGGCUUUAUGACUUUGUUGAAAAAAAUUUCAAAAAUUUUGCACCACUCACUUAUCCCUAAAAACCGGCCACCCUACAAGUGGGGUGCUUUUGGGGCUUUUAUGCAAUUACAUAAAGUUUUGAUACUUUUGUGUAUUUGCAACUUUGGCCCAAAAGUUUACGUUUUACGUUAAAGGCCCAAAAAUCGCUAAAGGACAAAUUGUUUUGUUCCUUUAAUGAAUGUUUUUUGAAUUUUGUUGAAAUUUUUGGGUUCUAGUUGUAUUUACAUGAAGUAGUUGACUUUUGUGUUUUUACAAAGUGACCCCAAAAGUUUAUGUUUUGCAAUAUAGCCCAAAAAAGUUGAGGUUAAUUGCAUUUUUGGCCCAAAUUAGGUUGAGAACAAAAUUGGUUUUGUCUCUUUAAAUGAGAAUUGGAUUUUCAUUUUCAUUUAGCUCCAUUUAAAUCAAUUUUAUGGAUACAAAAACCAAAUGAAAAUGUGUUGCAUUCAAGUUUAAUUAGUUAAAGCGUUAAUUAAUUAAAGGGUGAUUAUGAACCUAAGCCUAACGAUAAUUGAGCUAUGUGAAAGGCGUUUCAAAUUUGUUUGAACCAUGGGAAUGUGUAGAUUAGAUUUUGGUUGUAAUUUGAUUUGAUCAAAUGUUGUAAAGAGCAUAAGCUCUUUUUUACUUUAAAGUAAUUUGUUUUGAUGCAAAUGUUGUAAAAGAGCAUAAGCUCUUCUUUACUUUGAAGUACUUCCUUUCUUGCUUUAUAUUUGAUAUGCAUGAAAAUUGGAAGUAGUUGGGGUCCAACGCCCCAAUAAGACAACACGCCUUAAUGUGAUUAAACGCGUAACUAAAAUCAAUCACCAUCCCUAGACCAAGAUUCAACACAAGGCUCGUGUUGAAUCUAAACAAAGGUUCAUAGUCAUCCUAAGGCCCUAAGGCAACUAUAUAGUCCAUUAAAAUGAAUGCAAAGUUUAUGUUAGUAGUAUCAUAUACUCUUGCUUUAAAAACCGUUUUAAUAAGCAUAGUGGGAGUAUUAUAUACAACUAAAUUCAAUCAAAUGGACCAAUAGUUGUAAUAGGACCAAAAUUGUUUUAAUAGAGAUUAAAAUGUAUAUUUAUAUGUGAUGAGACCUAAAAAACCCUCAACCAAACCAAUUAUUAAGUUGAUAAGCGUGAGAGUGCUUUGAACACUCUUUCGUGGCCUUCCACCGUGGUAGGCUUCAAUCGUUUGUGACUCAUACACCGUAUUCGUCCAGUUCAUGGGGUAGUGCAAAGUAUGUGCUUACAUUCAGGAGGAAGCCUAUAAACAUAUGAUGAAGUGAAGGUAGGCAACGAGUAUGGCCAAUAUGAUAUUCUUCUGAGGCUAUUCUUGAAACCCUACUUGAACUAGCAUGGUGGGAAUGACUUAACUAAGUGCAAUGGUGCCAAUAUUGAUUCUUCUGAGGCAUCAUUUUCUAGAGGCCAAAUUAGAUGGGUACUAAUUAUUGCAAAAGUUGUAAAUGCUAAAGCGUUAUCCUCUCAUCAUUAUUAUUGUUGCUAGCCAAUAUGAUAUUCUUCUGAGGGUGGGCUUGGUAAUAGUGAGUCUCUCCCAUACCCUACUAAGAGUUUCAUCCAAAACUCUCGAAUUCCAAUGAGGGAUAUGGAAUUUGCCAAAAAUAGUGGGUGGUGCUAUUUUGAUUUAAAGACCCGAAUCAAAUGGCUUAAAAUCAAUCAAUUUAUAUUCGUUAUGUAUUUGUUUACCAAUAUAUUUGCAAACGCUAUCCAAAAAACUUGACAAAGAAAAGCCGAAUGCUUUAGUUUCCGGACUUGGUACUACACAAUCCCAAAGAUUGUCUUUAAAUUGUAAGUAGUCUCAUCCUCACAAUCUUCCUAUUGAUAAUGUAUCAUUAGAAGAAUAUGUUAAUAAGUCUAUCAAGAGGACAACACUUUUAAUGUCAUAAAUCUUCAAUUACAAAUCGUUGUAUGAAGAAAGAGUUGCUUUGCUUAGUCAAUGCAAACUUAGUGCUUGUUUCUUUGUUAUGAACAAGAACUUGAGAAGAAGCACAAGGCAUGGACACUUUAAUGUGCCAUGAUUCUUCACUUACAAAUUGUUGUAUGAAGAAAUGAGAGUUGCCUUGUACAACUCUUGAAAGUUUGUAAUUAUGUUUAGAACAUAAUGGUUGGUUGACAAAAAUAGUCCAUUCAACAUGGACUUAUGAUGAUUUUGAAUCAUUGAGUGUUGAAGUGUUAAAACACUUAACGAGACGGAAACUAGGCAAGGACUUCACCUUUGAGUCCUUCCCUAUCCUAAUGGUUCACUAAGUUUAUUGUAAACUAUAUAGUGAACAAUAACCACACGCUCUCCAAAUUGUUUGAUGUGUAUAACACAAUUGAAAUAAGUUUCAAGAGAGAUAGUGGGAGUUUAGGGACCAUGACUAUUGUAGUCAAAGGAGAAGUCUAAUGAAGAAAGCGAAAUAACUCCAAGGGAACAAACUUUCUUUAUGAAAGGAUGGACAAUGGAAGGGGUAUUUGCAAGAAAUGUCUUGCAAAUGUCAAGAACACACCUUUCGAAGGUGUUGUAAAUUGUUCUUGAAAAGUUCAAAACAGUUGGUUCUUCUACUUGAAUGCAUGAUUCAGUAUUAGUAACUAUGUUUUACAAUCGUUGUAAAAUGUGGCUAAUAAAAAGUAGAAGAUUAAUGAGAGAAGAGAAAGUACUUCACAUUCGGAACGUGAAUAAAAUAUAGAUCUCUGCGAAAGCAGAUGGUACUUACUUCCUCAUAUGAACUACCAAAGAAAUUGGAAAAAAAACCAAAGAUUGUCUUUACAUUCCAAUUGAAUAAAGGAACUUAAUUCCGUAUGUUAAAUGGAUAAAUGUUUUGUUUGACAAAACAUUGUUCUUUAUUAAUGAAUGAUUAGAUUAUUGUAAUCUAAUUAAUUAUCUCUAUAGUAGAGAUGAUAUGGUAGUGUUAACUGUUUAGAAUAUAAUGAUGCUUAAAACCCAAAAGGUUGCAAGGUAGUGACUAAUCCCAACUGAGUUGUGAUACCUCAAAAACAUAAAAUACGAGUUGGUCAUAGAUGGAUGCUUUGGAUCGUUAGAUCCGGAUCCAAUACCUUCUUAUUAAAAUUGUAUAGAGGCGAAAUGUUCGAAUCUUUAUUCUUUUGGAAAGAAGAAAGAAUCACAAAGUUGUUGAGGUUAAUUCACUUAGAUGUUAGUGGCACUUGUCCACAACAUAAUACUACUCAUGUUUGUAUGACAUUCACCGAAGAUCACUCUCGGUUGGACUAUAGUUUUAUUUUGAAUAAACACAAGUCCGAAUACUUUGCAAAAGGUUUCAAAGAAUUCAAGAAAUGUAAGUUGAUGAGUAAGACGUCUAAAGUAUUUGCCUCCUUAGAUUUGAUCCAAGGAAAGAUAACACUUUAGAACAGUUUUCUUGAAAGAUAUCAAGGAAAGAAGCAUCAUAAGAUAAUGGAUUUCUCCAUUAGGAGAAGAACGAACUUGAAUAAGAUUUAGUUCGUUGGAUGUUAUCAAUUACCCAUAUAUAGGAUAUAUGCUUCUAAGACAAUAUGAUUGUCAAUUAGAAGAUCUUCCAAAAUUUUCAUGACUCCAUAAAAAGAAAGAAAGACAAAUCUUAAAUCAUGUUAAGAUUUUGGGUUGUGCUGCUAAUAAGCAAUAUUUGUUUGAGAAUUAAUCUUGUAGGAUAUCCUUAAAAUUAACAUUUGUAUAUCACUUCUAUAAACCAACUAACAAAUGUUGUUUUGUUGGGUAGUUCAUUGUAAUCCUACACAAUAGGAUUUGCCUAAGAUAGCAAAUGAACGAGGGAUAGAACUCAAAGAAUGGUUCUUUAAGAAACAAGAUAGUGAUCAACAAAAUAUAACAACCUAGUUCCUAUACCACAAGCUCCAAAGUAGUCAAGAAUGAUUUAUAAACCAUCUCAGUUGAAUGGUUUGAACUUUAUGACUAUGUCAUAGAGUUACACCUCUUAAUUCGAAAGAAAUAAGAAUGAAAAUCCUUAUGACUACAUUGAGUGUAUAUACGAUAUAUACUCAAGGAAAUGGUAAAGUACCAUUUGACCGAAAUAAUGAAACCUUAAAUAGCUAAUUGGUAGCUUAAGGUGACUACAAUCAAAGAGAAUGGUUGACUUUGAAGAAACCAUCUUUGACGUAGUCUUCUUUUCAAUUAAUUCGAAGAUUGCUAGCUACAACUAAAUGGUGAUUCAAUGUUUGGACAUAAUAUAGGUUUCCGAAACCAUUAUUAAGAUAGUCUUGAUAAUAUAUGUCUAAAACUAUGAAUCACAAGACAUGUAAGUUGUAGAGAUCCAACCAUCAUGGAUCUUAGCAAGCUAGUGGGAGCUGUAAGCGUCUUAUGAGAGAAAGAUCAAAUCGUUUGAUUUCUCAUAAAGAUGUAAAUGAAUCUUUUGUUUACUAGGUUUUACAAAAGAUUAGUGGGAGUUAAUCAUGUUCCUAAAUUUGAAUAUAUAUAAUAUUAUAUAUAAAUAUAUGAUAUAAUUAAUUUUGGAAAUGAAAAGAAUACUUCUUCGUUAAAGUUAUGACUUUAAAAACAUUAUAUGAAGAUAGAAUGUAUAUGGGAGACAUAAUCUAUAUACAUGGGAUGGAAAUCUAUAUUGAUAGAUUUUAGGAUAUAAUUGGAUUAUAUCAAGCCCUAAUAAUAGACAAGAGAUGCUAGGAAGUAUCUCAUAUGAUGAUAAACUUCAAUUAGAAGGACGACUCUAGUGAGACUAGCAAGUUGCCCUUCUCAAAGGGAACGUACCCUUUGACUCCCAAAGAAAUAAUGCGUAAAUAGAAUCCUUUAUGCAUACGCAGAGAGGUGAUUUAUGUAUUUCAUAUUGUAUGAAAAACAUUGAUAUGAGUUGUACCUAGAAAGGUACAAGAUGAUAUUAGUGCAAGCCCAGGAUCAGAACCACGGCAACUGUCAAGUGAGUUCUUAAGUAUUUAAGAAAUACUAAAGGAUAGAUUCCUCAAAGAAUGAGGAAGAAUUAGAGUAACGUAAUGGAAGCGUAAAUGUAUUAGAUUAUGAAUCUAAUGCAUCAUUGGAUAUUUCUUCAUUAUGAAUGAAGAGAUAAUCAGAUAUCUCUUUAUUAUGACUAAAAAGAUAUUUGGAUGGAAACAUUAAAAGUAAUGACUUUAGUGUGUUCCAUUAUGAAUGCAAAAUAUAUUGCCAUAUAGAAGCUUACAACAAUGUUGUUUGGAUGGGAAAUUUCAUUUAUGAACUCUCUAUUCGGUUCCAACCAGAAAGUGUCUCUAGUGUACCGACACUACGACACUACGACACUAAUGGGGCGAUAGCUCAAGCCAGGGAAUCAAGGUAUCAUCAAGAUCCAAACUCAAAUGAGAGACUAAACCACAUGAUUAAGAAUCAUGUAUAAUGGUGACGUCGUUAUUCUCAAGGUUGCUUCUAUGGAUAACAUAUACAUAUCCAUUCUCUAGGCCUACUACUCAGCCAUUUAUGAAAUGACUACAGAAGAGGUAUCAUCACUGAUGACCAAGCUGAUUGGCUCUAGUGCAAGUCGGAGAUUGUUGGAAAUGUGCCCUAAAACCAAUCAUAUGAUGAUACUUUACGGACAUUUCACAUGUUAAACUAAUCUAGUUUAAUAUCAAGGGCAAAGAUUAUUGUUUGAGCCGUCUCAUAUAAAUGUUAUAUGCUUAAACGAUAAGUCCAAGGAAUAUGUGAUUGGGAGAAUGCGAUCUAAAGAAGUUAGAUUCAUGAGACCAUUCUUUCGUAGACACAUCCUAAACGUUCCUGAUCAUAGGAUUGCCAAUUGGGCAUUGACAGUCCGUUAAGAUCAGUACGUGUUGUGUCUUCUCUCAAGGAGAGUGACUAGUCUCGAGUCAUUGGUCUGUGUGACAUCAAGACAAGCAUGUAGGUGCUCAAUAAUGAAUGAGUCCACUGAACACGAUCAACGGGAGUUCUCAUACUCAUGUCACAUGAGAACUCAUGGUUCGGAUAAUGCAAAGUAGUCCUUUGACCUGAGGCAUCAUAGUUGUCUUGUGAUUAAGUCCUUGAUCUUUGAUUAUGUCAAAGUCACUCCAUCAGGAGCGUGUCCACGGCAUCAUAGGGGUUAAGCCACUUAGCCAUGGAGGCAAGUGAAUGCACAACAAGGGAUCUCUAACCUUCAAAACGUUUGAGGGAGAAUACUCUAUGAUAUGAUUAAGAAUCUCUGGCCAGAGUAUGAAUGAGAUUUAGGAAGUCGUUCCAAAUCACAUUCAAGGUAAUCAUAUAAGCACACGAAUCACAUUGGAUAGUAGAAUAUGAAUAAACUAUCAAACCAAACAAUGUGUCAAGAGUAUGUAUUUAUUAGAGAAAGACCGUAUUGCAUUUGUAAUCCUAAACUGAAUAGGUUCUCCACCUCUUCUGAUUAGCUUGGGUAACCAUGAUAUGCUGCUAGGUGUCACUCAUGGUUUGUGGAAGCCCUAAACGUGUAUAAUCACUAAAGGGAGAAUUGAAAGUAAGUUUCAAUUCACAAUCGAUUUGAAAUGGUUUUAAUCGCCCACUGCCUCGCUAAAAGGAACCUAAUGGAUCGUACACCAUGUAAGGUGGAGAUUGAAGAAACAAUGGAGAUGAGUAAGAAUAAUUAAAUGGUUUAAUUAUUUAUGGCAAGGAUUAAUUAAUAUGUUAAUUAAUCAAACGAAUAAGUUCCUUAAAGACCUCGGGAUAGUUUUGGGCCUCAAGGCCCAAUGGGCUUCAAACGUCAAUCCAAUUGACUUAAGUUGUAUGACAACUUAAUGACAAAUAAUUCACAAAGGCCGUAAAAACCCAAUGAAACCCUAUGGCCGGCCAUUUUGUUAAAUGAGUGGGUUUUGGACUUAAUUACAAGUUUGCUACUCCAAUGAAUAAAGGUAUAAGUAUGACUUUAUAGCCAAAAUUCAUUUAGGGUUUUCUUUUGGGGAAAGGAUGAGAACACAAGCUCUCUUUUCUCUUUAAAGAGGCCGGCCACCCUUGGAGGGAUUAGCUAGUAAUCUUUCUCCUCCAAGGUCACUCAUCUCUUCUUCACAUCUUACCUUGGUGUGGAGACUUAGAGGUUCUCAAUUUUGGGAACUUGGAGAAACCUAUUCUUCCAUCCAAAUCCAUGGAUCUAAGAAGCAAGGAAUGAAGGCCCUCUCCUUGGGUGAUUAGCCUUUGCUUAUGCAAAGAGGAAUCUACAAAGGUAUAAAUUUCUCAACUCACUUUGAUUUGAGUUGAGUCUUGGUUCACCAAUCUACUAGGCUUUGAAUUUCAUGGUUAAUGUUUUGUUUUUAAGUGCAUACAAGCAUGAUUCCGCCUUUAAUUGUUAAUUGCAUGCUAAUAGAUGUUGCUUAAAUGAACAUGUUUUUCACAAAAUUUCCUUCAUUAGGAACGCAAAUCUGAGUGUGGAGUGAAAGUUCCAUCGUUCCUAAGUUGAAUGCAUGGGUUUCCUCCCAAGAAGCGCUUGCUUUAACAUCGUGCAACCGGACGAUACUUCUCUUUAAGCUCCUCGAGGUCCCAUAGCAUGGAAUUUAUCCUUGAAUGGAAGGUGAUACUUUAAGUGAUCCGGCAAUGGUUUAAAUUCUAGUGUAGGUACCUGAAUCAUCAAAAUCAACAUGUUAGUAUAAAACGUAAUGGAAAUUGGGGAAGAUGACUUACUUGCAUUGUCCGACAAGAACUCAAUGAAAAACACCACUUCUUUGAAAAUUUCAGGGAGAUUGGACUUGGGCAGAUUGAAUGUGAUGGUUAGAACUUGUCCCGUGUCAUAAAAUUCAACCUCUUUAGGCUUUGUUGUCUCAUGUACAACCUCCUUGAUGCAUUUUACACAUUCGCCAGCCACUUCUUUCUCUUGACUCCUUAUUGGUGUACAAGGUUCUUUGAACACUUCAACACAAUCUGGAACUUGAUUUGGUGUGCCAAGAAUUGGGAUAUCACUUUACACCUUUAGAAUGGCUUCCAGAAUGUCUUGUUCACUCUCAUCUUUCUUGGGAAUUAAAAACCUGCGAGGAAAAGAUGCAUUCGAAGGAAUAAUAUUAGAAUGAAAUGAAAUUGGGACGUUCUUACUUGUGGUGGGUGGUUUAGAGAGCUUAGGGGGCUGCGGCAAGGGUUGUUCUACCCUUGCCGUGGGUGUGUCUUCUUCCUCCUCCUCAAUUAGCAGUUGUUCGUCCUCCUCUUGGCUUUGUUUGGACGUUUUUAGGUCAGCUCCAACCUCCAUAGCACUUGCCAAAGUGAUAGCAUCAUGGAUUUCAAAAUCUUGCUUCGAAUUUUCAAUAGUUGAGUUGGAGAGUUCACUUUGCUCUUGAAUUUGCACCAUGAACUCCAUAAUCUGCCCAAUUUGCUUCUCCAAUUCGCCCGUCUUCUUGGCUUGAUUUUGCAUCUCUUUGUUUCGAUUUUCUACUUCCUGGUUCAAAGAGGUGAGUAACUUACUAAACAUAUCAUUAUCCAAAGACGUACCUGAAUUUGUUUAGGAAAAUUGUGGGGGAGGUUGUGGUGGCUGCAUAGGCGUGGUGUAGAACUCCUCAUAUGGUUACCAAUAUGCAUCUUGUUGAGCCUCCUUGGCUUGAUUUUGUGAGCCCUGCACCAAAGAAUUUAAUUCAUUAAGAAUUUGAUUAUAAUCUAUUGACGAACUGGAGUUUGAUUGAGCAUAUUGCAUAGGUCUUGAAUAGAACUCCUCAUAUGGCUGCCAAUAUCCUUCGUGUUGAGCUCGUUUGAGAUUCCCACCACAUAGAAGUUGAAUGAUCACUCCAAUCUCUUUGUGGACAUUGAUUGGCUUGAUAUCCUUGCCUAUAAGACGCACCAAAUGUAGGGACACUUUGCAUUGUGGUCCUUUCAGCAUACUGCGACAAUUGAGAAGUAAGAUUUGCCAAUUGAGCUUGAAUGCUAGCAAAAUCCAUGUCGUACUUCUCUAGUACCUUAAAUCAAAGAAAGAUAACUAAAUCAAAUAUCAAAAUUAAAAUAAACAAAACAAAAGCAAAUAAGAAACUAAAAACAAAAGACACGAAAAGAAACAAAGUCAGUAACUAAAACAAAAGACACGAAAAAUAAACAAAAAGAAACAACGGGGGAUUAGCAAAGUUGCUAAUCCCCGGCAACGACGCCAAAAAUUUGCUGCGUAAAUUAACUUAACACACAAAUUAAACCCUCUUGUUGACAAUUGUAGUAUGGAUAAGUAGGGAUCGUUAUGGACCGGGGAUUAGGAGGGAUUGCUAAUCUACUCUAAACUAAAUUAGAAACACAAAAAUAAACUUAAAAGCACUUAACAAGACUCACAAGACUCAAAACAAACUUAAAAGACUCAAAACUGCCUAAAAACAACACUAAGGCAGUUUCUGCUACUAACACAAGUUUUGGACGAAAUUGAUUAUAUCUUGACUCAAAACACUUAAAAACACAAUCUAAAACAAGUUCUAACUAAUAUGACUCAAUAAAGUAAAGUGGGGGUUGGUUUUGGACGAAAAUAAGUAAAGCAAAACAAAAACAAUUUAAACAAAUUCUUAGACAAAUUUAGGUGAAUUGAUGGGUGAUGGGUUAACUAGGGAGUUCUUCUCCACACAUGACAAACUUGCAUUGAAAUUGAUUUCCAAUUGCUUCUCUCAAUAAGUCAUGAAACUCAAUACUCCAGGUUAACUGUGACAGCACUUUUUUAACCUUCAAGUUCUCCUUAAGUUAAUGAAUUGGAUGGGAAAGCACAUACAACAACUCAAAGCAUUCUCUAAAAGUCCCCUACGUGAAAAGCACAAUAAAGGUACAAUCAAAGAUCAUUAAGUUGCAUGAAAACCAUAAGCAUUGACGAGGUAAUUGUUACUAUGAAAAGUAUGAAACUUUUGCCAAGAAUUCACUUAACACGAUCGUUUAUAAGCGACCUCCACUACUUGCAAAUAUAAGUUUGUAACUAUUAGGUGAAACUCCCUUAUAUUUUAGCUUCAAAUCCUUGCAUGAAAACUAAGUGUGCACUCUUAAUAAACAUACAAGAAUAAGUUAUCAAUCAAAUGGUUAAGCAAAUUGAAUUCACAACUUAUGAAAUAACAACUGAAGGUAAUCAAUUCAUAAUGCAAAUAUAAUCAUGGUUUUGAAUAGCCCCCUAGCCAAGAAGGGCUUAGUUCCUCAUAAAUGCAAAACAAAGAUACAUAAAUUUAGACAUUGAAAACAAAGAAUAAAAACACCUAGAAACGCUCCAACAAUCCAACGUCUUGAAUGGCAAGCACGUCCAAGGGUCUCCUUCCUUCUUCUUUGCUGCGGCACAAGGGAUGGUUGAAGGUUUUUGUGGUGAUUUGUGGUAGUGGAUGGAUAUAGGUUGGUUAUGGUGAAGGGUGGAGUGCUUAGAAUGGUCAGAAAGGGGUCAUAUUUAUAGGGAAAGGAAGGGCUACGAAUUUAUUAAAUUUGGAAUUAGAAAUCAAUGGAAAAUAGGCAAGAAAGGUGCAAGAAUUAAAGAGAAUAGGAAAGGAAAUUCGGAAGAGAGUGUAGGACAGAUUUAGGAAUGUGUUUUGAGGCACAAAAUAGGUAAGAAUCCUCUCCCCUUGUGCAGCAAGAAUUGAAACAAAAGGGAAUGCAAUUUUGGGUCAGAAAAUAGGUAAGAAAUGAGAGAUAUGUGCAGAUUUUGGAAGAGAAAGGGAAAGGGAAUUGCGGCAAGGAAGGAUCCUUGCAGAUUUGGUGUGGCAUGGACUUUAGGGAAGGUUUAGGGCUUCUAGAUAUAUGUAAUUAGGCAACCUAAAAUGUUUUGAAACCCUUUUGUGGCUGGAACAUAGGUGAGGAAGGAUUAGGAAACUUCCAAGCCAAGAAUAGAAACUUUCAAGAAUGGAAACCUCCAAAAAUAGAAACUUUGGUUUCCAAUUAUGAACUCUUUGUUCUUCAUUUUCAUUUCUUCAUUUCAUUAUUCAUUCCUAGCCUCCUUUGAUCUUCAAUUUCG